AAAAUUAGUUGUAGUCAGUUCGAGUCUCUUGUUCGUGCCGUUCGCUUGUGUUUUCGAAUAUUGUAUCCGUAAAAUUCUUUGGUGCUACGCUAAAAUAUUUUUACAAGAUACAAACAGCUACAUACAUACCUAUAUGUAUAUAUGCAGAUAAAAAAAAAAAAUAGAACUGAAUGAGUUUUUAGUGAUUCUUGAAUACUAAGAAUUGAUAAAAUUUCGGUUUUGGUAGUGAACAUAAAAUGAAAACCGCCAGUUAAAAGUAAUACGAAGUGAGAAAGUGUUCGUUAACUUCGUUAAAGGCAACAAAUAACUAAUUUUUUGCAUGCAAAAAGUGAUUUCCACCUAGACAACAUACCUUUAAAAUUUGUAGAAAACAAGAAGAAGACACAAGCCGUAUCCAGCCGGAAACUUUUUGAACAAAAUUCUAUUUUGUCAUUCUAAUCUUCACAUUAACAAAGUGGUAAAACUUUGGUGGCGGUUUCUGUU
Molecule: long non-coding RNA, 483 nt
Organism: Rhagoletis zephyria (snowberry fruit fly)
Lineage: Eukaryota; Metazoa; Arthropoda; Insecta; Diptera; Tephritidae
Source: RefSeq, a predicted model, not a curated record